GACGAACGCUGGCGGCGUGCUUAACACAUGCAAGUCGAGCGGUAAGGCCCUUUUGGGGGUACACGAGCGGCGAACGGGUGAGUAACACGUGGGUGACCUGCCCUCAGCUCUGGGAUAAGCCUGGGAAACUGGGUCUAAUACUGGAUAUGACCUUUCCUCGCAUGGGGGUUGGGUGGAAAGUUUUUCGGCUGGGGAGUGGGCCCGCGGCCUAUCAGCUUGUUGGUGGGGUGAG
RNAcentral lists this ribosomal RNA (232 nucleotides) under uncultured bacterium. Its description in RNAcentral is "partial 16S ribosomal RNA". It matches the Rfam family "Bacterial small subunit ribosomal RNA", at positions 28 to 261 of the family's 1533-position model. The record is from RNAcentral.